Austrofundulus limnaeus is the source of this 309-nucleotide non-coding RNA. The record is from the annotation of a RefSeq genome assembly. Lineage: Eukaryota; Metazoa; Chordata; Actinopteri; Cyprinodontiformes; Rivulidae.
GAUUAAUUAAAGGGAGUGAUGUUAUCCAGCCCUCUAUUGUCUGGAAAAACAAAGGUGAAAAUGCAACAAUGGACUGCAAUCACACCAAAGGCGAUUUAUAUUUCCAGAUGUACUGGUACAGACAGCUGCCAGGAGAAACUAUGAAACUAAUUGUCUUCACAAGCACAGGCAUGAAUCAGCAUGAUUUUGGAGAGUUCAGCAAAGACAAAUUCUCAGCCACCAAAACUGUUGCUCGCAGUGGGACUUUCACAGUGAAGAAUCUGGAGCCUAAAGACGAAGGCUUUUAUUUCUGUGCUGUCAGUCAGCACA